AUAAAGUUUUAUUUUAGCUAAAUUUUUUGUUAGUAGUUUUUUUUAUAUGUAAAUUUAUGUGUGAAUUUUUAAUUGUUCUUAAGGAAUUUUAAAUUUUGUUUAUUCGCAGUAUUCAAUUUUGUAAAUUAAAGAAAUUUAGAUAUGGGUAUAUAAUUAGUGUAGGUAAAUUUUGUGCCAGCAUCCGCGGUUAUACAAAAUACACAAAUAAAAAUAAUUAUUUUGUAGUUAAAUUUUAGGGGAGUAAAUAUAACAUUAUUUUAAAAGGUGAAAUUUAGAAUAAUAUUAAGUAAUUUAUUAGUAAUGAUUUUGAAGCUAUUAAAUUUUAUAAAUAAACUAGGAUUAGAUACCCUAUUAUUAAAAAAAUAAAUAUUAGAAAAUUAGGUAGUAAUAGUUAUAGGCUUGAAACUUAAAAAAUUUGGCGGUAUUUUAGUCUUUUUAGAGGAACCUGUUUCAUGAUCGAUAUUCCACGAUUUAUUUUACAUGAUUUUAUUUAAUUUGUAUAUCGUCGUUAUAAGAAAAUCUUAAGAGAGGGAAAUUUUCUAAAAUUUUUAGUAGAUUUUAUUUCAGAUCAAGGUGCAAUAAAUAAUCAUGAGAUAAUGGGUUACAGUAAAUUUAUUUAUUUUGGAAAAUAAGAUGAAAUUUUUAUUUAAAAUUGGAUUUAAAAGUAAUUUAAAUUAUAUAGUUUUUUUGAUUAUAGCUCUAUAAUAUGCACAUAUCGCCCGUCACUCUCUUUAUUAAAAAGAGAUAAGUCGUAACAAAAGUAAGUGUACUGGAAAGUGUACUUAGAAUGAU
This 792-nucleotide non-coding RNA is filed under the name Madachauliodes sp. Lineage: Eukaryota; Metazoa; Arthropoda; Insecta; Megaloptera; Corydalidae. The record is from RNAcentral.